Molecule: ribosomal RNA, 468 nt
Filed under: uncultured bacterium
Lineage: Bacteria
Description: partial 16S ribosomal RNA
Rfam family: Bacterial small subunit ribosomal RNA
Source: RNAcentral
GACGAAUGCUGGCGGCGUGCUUAACACAUGCAAGUCGAACGGAAAGGCCCUGCUUUUGUGGGGUGCUCGAGUGGCGAACGGGUGAGUAACAAGUGAGUAACCUGCCCUUGACUUUGGGAUAACUUCAGUAAACUGGGGCUAAUACCGGAUAGGAGCUCCUGCUGCAUGGUGGGGGUUGGAAAGUUUCGGCGGUUGGGGAUGGACUCGCGGCUUAUCAGCUUGUUGGUGGGGUAGUGGCUUACCAAGGCUUUGACGGGUAGCCGGCCUGAGAGGGUGACCGGCCACAUUGGGACUGAGAGACGGCCCAGACUCCUACGGGAGGCAGCAGUGGGGAAUAUUGCACAAUGGGCGGAAGCCUGAUGCAGCAACGCCGCGUGCGGGAUGACGGCCUUCGGGUUGUAAACCGCUUUCGCCUGUGACGAAGCGUGAGUGACGGAAAUGGGUAAAGAAGCACCGGCUAACUACGUG